Molecule: ribosomal RNA, 461 nt
Filed under: uncultured bacterium
Lineage: Bacteria
Description: bacterial SSU rRNA
Rfam family: Bacterial small subunit ribosomal RNA
Source: RNAcentral
UGCGAACUCCUACGGGAGGCAGCAGUGGGGAAUAUUGCACAAUGGGCGCAAGCCUGAUGCAGCGACGCCGCGUGAGGGAUGACGGCCUUCGGGUUGUAAACCUCUGUUAGCAGGGAAGAAGAGAGAUUGACGGUACCUGCAGAGAAAGCGCCGGCUAACUACGUGCCAGCAGCCGCGGUAAUACGUAGGGCGCGAGCGUUGUCCGGAAUUAUUGGGCGUAAAGAGCUUGUAGGCGGUUUGUCGCGUCUGCUGUGAAAGGCCGGGGCUUAACUCCGUGUAUUGCAGUGGGUACGGGCAGACUAGAGUGCAGUAGGGGAGACUGGAAUUCCUGGUGUAGCGGUGGAAUGCGCAGAUAUCAGGAAGAACACCGGUGGCGAAGGCGGGUCUCUGGGCCGUUACUGACGCUGAGGAGCGAAAGCGUGGGGAGCGAACAGGAUUAGAAACCCCGGUAGUCCAGAGAA